GAUGAACGCUGGCGGCGUGCCUAAUACAUGCAAGUCGAGCGAACAGACGAGGAGCUUGCUCCUCUGACGUUAGCGGCGGACGGGUGAGUAACACGUGGAUAACCUACCUAUAAGACUGGGAUAACUUCGGGAAACCGGAGCUAAUACCGGAUAAUAUAUUGAACCGCAUGGUUCAAUAGUGAAAGACGGUUUUGCUGUCACUUAUAGAUGGAUCCGCGCCGCAUUAGCUAGUUGGUAAGGUAACGGCUUACCAAGGCGACGAUGCGUAGCCGACCUGAGAGGGUGGUCGACCACACUGGAACUGAGACACGGUCCAUACUCCUGCGGGAGGCAGCAGUAGGGAAUCUUACGCAAUGGGCGAAAGCCUGACGGAGCAACGCCGCGUGAGUGAUGAAGGUCUUCGGAUCGUAAAACUCUGUUAUUAGGGAAGAACAAAUGUGUAAGUAACUGUGCACGUCUUGACGGUACCUAGUCAGAAAGCCACGGCUAACUACGUG
Molecule: ribosomal RNA, 497 nt
Filed under: uncultured bacterium
Lineage: Bacteria
Description: partial 16S ribosomal RNA
Rfam family: Bacterial small subunit ribosomal RNA
Source: RNAcentral